Non-coding RNA from Schistosoma haematobium, 45 nucleotides. Lineage: Eukaryota; Metazoa; Platyhelminthes; Trematoda; Strigeidida; Schistosomatidae. The record is from Rfam.
AUCCAGCUGACGAGUCUCAAAUAGGACGAAACGCGCGUCCUGAAU